RNAcentral lists this ribosomal RNA (499 nucleotides) under uncultured Glomeromycotina. RNAcentral describes it as "partial small subunit ribosomal RNA". It matches the Rfam family "Eukaryotic small subunit ribosomal RNA", at positions 591 to 1092 of the family's 1831-position model. The record is from RNAcentral. Lineage: Eukaryota; Fungi; Glomeromycota.
CCAAUAGCGUAUAUUAAAGUUGUUGCAGUUAAAAAGCUCGUAGUUGAAUUUCGGGAUCAAUAUGUCGGUCGUGCUUAGGUACGUACUGGCAUCAUUGGUUUCUCCUUUCUGAUGAACCAUGAUGCCAUUAAUUUGGUGUUAUGGGGAAUCAGGACUGUUACCUUGAAAAAAUUAGAGUGUUUAAAGCAGGCUCACGCUUGAAUACAUUAGCAUGGAAUAAUGAAAUAGGACGUUUGAUUCUAUUUUGUUGGUUUCUAGGAUCGACGUAAUGAUUAAUAGGGAUAGUUGGGGGCAUUAGUAUUCAAUUGUCAGAGGUGAAAUUCUUGGAUUUAUUGAAGACUAACUACUGCGAAAGCAUUUGCCAAGGAUGUUUUCAUUAAUCAAGAACGAAAGUUAGGGGAUCGAAGACGAUCAGAUACCGUCGUAGUCUUAACCAUAAACUAUGCCGACUAGGGAUCGGAUGAUGUUAAUUUUUUAAUGACUCAUUCGGCGCCUCACG